This 785-nucleotide ribosomal RNA is filed under the name uncultured Neocallimastigales. Its description in RNAcentral is "partial large subunit ribosomal RNA". It matches the Rfam family "Eukaryotic large subunit ribosomal RNA", at positions 18 to 616 of the family's 3401-position model. The record is from RNAcentral. Lineage: Eukaryota; Fungi; Neocallimastigomycota; Neocallimastigomycetes; Neocallimastigales.
UCAGACGAUGCGUCAUGCAUAUCAAUAAGCGGAGGAAAAGAAACUAACAAGGAUUCCCCUAGUAACGGCGAGGUGAAGCGGGAAGAAGCUCAAAUUUGAAAUCUUAAAGGGUUUUCCCUUGACGAAUUGUAGUUUAAAGAAGUGUUUUCUGUUGAAGGUUUUGGUAAAAGUUCUUUGGAAUAGGACAUCAUAGAGGGUGAGAAUCCCGUAUUUGACCAUUUACUUUUCAGCUGUGUGAUACACUUUCAAAGAGUCGGAUUGUUUGGGAAUGCAGUCCAAAAUGGGUGGUAAAUUUCAUCUAAAGCUAAAUAUUGGCGAGAGACCGAUAGCGAACAAGUACCGUGAGGGAAAGAUGAAAAGAACUUUGAAAAGAGAGUUAAACAGUACGUGAAAUUGUCAAAAGGGAAGCGUUUGACACCAGUGUUGUUUUUCUGAAAAUCAAUUAAAAGAACUGUUUAUGCUAAGUUGUUUAUGACUUUAAUCAGCUAACUGUUUAAGUUAUUGAGCUUUUCUUUAAUGCACUUUUCAGUUAACAAGUCAACAUCAAUUUCUUUUGCUGUAAAAAAGCUUGAGGAAGGUGGCUUGAGAUUCGUCUUAAGUGUUUAUAGCCUCUUGCCUAUGCAGUCGGAGAGAUUGAGGUCUGCAGCGUAGAUCCCUCGGGGCUAAAUGCAUUUGUGCCAAGUUAUAGCAUUUUAUAGACAACUUGUUGACUAUGAUUUGUCUUGUAGCUUACUCGCUUAUGUUAUUUUACCUACGCUUAGGAUGUUGAGCGCAUGUCUCUCUCU